Molecule: ribosomal RNA, 457 nt
Filed under: uncultured microorganism
Description: bacterial SSU rRNA
Rfam family: Archaeal small subunit ribosomal RNA
Source: RNAcentral
GCGCAGCAGGCGCGAAACCUCCGCAAUGCUCGAAAGAGCGACGGGGGGACUCCAAGUGCCUACGCUCAGCGUAGGCUGUUCCCGAGCCUAAAAAGCUCGGGGAGUAAGGGCUGGGUAAGACGGGUGCCAGCCGCCGCGGUAAUACCCGCAGCCCGAGUGGUGGCCGCUAUUAUUGGGCCUAAAGCGUCCGUAGCCGGCUCGGUAAAUGCCUGGGUAAAUCGUCUGGCCCAACCAGACGAAUUCCGGGUAGACUGCCGGGCUAGGGACCGGAGGAGGGAGAGGGUACUCCGAGGGGUAGGGGUGAAAUCAGCAAGGUGAGUUGCUGAUGUAACUUGCCUUGCAAGUCACAAUCCUGUAAUCCCUGGAGGACCACCGGUGGCGAAGGCGCUCUCCUAGGACGGUCCGACGGUAGGGGGACGAAAGGCCAGGGGAGCAAAACCGGAUUAGAUACCCGUGU